CUGCUCUAAGCCCUACCUCUUCUGUCUGAUACCCUAAUGCCUAACCCUUCUCUGGCCCUUCCUGCCUCAGGUAUGCCCUGCGGGCUGGGUGGAACCCUCCCUUCUUCAACUAGGGCAUCAGCCUUCCCCUGGCUGCCAGAGGGGCACAGGGAGCUGAGCAAUGAGAGACUCUAGUGAGAGGGGAGAGGGAUGGGGUGUUGGCAUGCAGACAGGGGUGCCUAGGAAGGGGGAGGGAACUGGCUGUGAGCUGCCCCAUGGUGGGACGGAGCUGUCCCAGCCUCCCUG
This 285-nucleotide long non-coding RNA is filed under the name Bos taurus (domestic cattle). Its description in RNAcentral is "long non-coding RNA NONBTAT026229". The record is from RNAcentral. Lineage: Eukaryota; Metazoa; Chordata; Mammalia; Artiodactyla; Bovidae.